Molecule: small RNA, 67 nt
Organism: Paenisporosarcina sp. HGH0030
Lineage: Bacteria; Bacillati; Bacillota; Bacilli; Caryophanales; Caryophanaceae
Rfam family: Bacillaceae-1 RNA
Source: Rfam
GGUUUAGGAAGGAAGACUAAACUCGCGACAUCGUGCCGCAACGCCUUCAUGACCCACAUCCUGUGGG